AACUGCUUAUCACUACACUGUUCCAUAAGGAGAGCUAACUGGAGGAGUAAAUCAGGAGGACCUAAAAUAUAAAUAGAUACAAACUAAACUUGACACAUGACUAAAACUUGAGGAAUAAAAUAUCAAUAGUUUAGAUUUACCAAUAAGGUCUUAACUGACGAUAUACAUGACAUAGUCUAAAUGUAUCUGAACUGUAGGGG
This 200-nucleotide long non-coding RNA is filed under the name Capsicum annuum. RNAcentral describes it as "long non-coding RNA (CANN_LNC005086)". Lineage: Eukaryota; Viridiplantae; Streptophyta; Magnoliopsida; Solanales; Solanaceae. The record is from RNAcentral.